UUUUUUUCUUAUGGCUCCUCCGUCAUGGGGACUUUUCAUCACAUAAGCUGGCUCAGGUUUUCCUUGGGACCGCACUUGGGGUUUUCCUCGACGAGGUUUGGUUCUAGGUUGUGAGCUCUAUCUUGUAUCUGUGCUUUCCAGUUAUUGAAGAGAGCACGUUUGGGAGGUGGUUCUACGUGAAGGACACUUUUCAUAUACCUAACGUGUUGAAGUUUGAGUACGAUAUGGCCAUGGCUGAGAGACGGAAGCUAGCGUUGAAUUCUAAGUCGGAUUGAUUUGGUAUGCAACUUCUUGAAGACUUGCGCUUCACCACUACCGCCACCAAAAUCAAGGCCACUCCCGACGGCGAGUACAUCAUUGCUUCCGGCAUCUAUCCGCCGCAAGUCAAGGUCUACAAGGUCAAGGAGCUAGGCUUGAAGUUCGAACACCACUUGGAUUUCGAGAUCGUUGAUUUUCAAGUACUUCACAAUUAGGUUUAUAAUCUCCACUAGUUUUUGUUCCUUAUUUUAUUCAUGUUUAUAUUACUUAACAAAUGUUUUCUGUGUUUGUAAAAUGUAAAUUGUAAGUGACCUCUUCUUACAGAGGAGGAACUGCAUAGCUUCAAUUGAAAUAAAAAAGUUAGGUUUAUAUUCCAAUUCCAAUAGUUGUUUUGUUUUGCUUUAUUUUAUUUAUGUUUGCAUUCGAUAAUAUUUUCUCGUGUUUUUAAGUAAAUAAAUUGUAGGCAGUCUAUUGCGGAGGGAUUGGUUGGUUGGUUGAGGUAACAACAUAACUUCAAUUGAAAUAAAUUUAUGUUUAUAUUUUGAUUCCAAUAGUUGUUGCCUUCAUUUUGUUUAUGUUUACAUUCGUUAAUAUUUGUUGUGUUUGUAAACUGUAAGCGGUCUUUUAUGGAGGGAUUGGUUGGUUUAGAUAACUACAUAGCUUCAACUAAAAUAGAUAGUUAGAUUUUGUAUUUCCAAUAAUUGUUUACAUUAGUUAAUGUUUUCUUUGUGGAAAAAACUAUUGGAAAGCUAAUUUUCUAACUUGUCAAGGAUGAUUCCUCUCCUCCCUUAACACACAUUCCCCUGCAUUGAAUGUAGUUUCUCUAAGGUAAAUACUGGAACUUAAAUUCUGAUUUGCCCUGCUUUAUUUUCUUCAAUUAUUAAAGCUUUGUAUAUUUUGUGUGCGUACCUUGCAAUUUCAUAUCAAAUCACUGGAAAUUUAAUCUUGUCUGAAUUUUAGCUAGCUUCAUGUAUUAGUUGCCUGUGGUGGUGAAGAUGGUGUUGUGGAAUGCUUUGACAUGCGAGUGAGAUCUUCAAUUGGAAGAAUUGAUGUUGUUGGACCUAGUGGUGAUGUUAACCAGGAGAUCACUGCAUUGGAGUUUGAUGAAGAUGGUGGUUUCUUAAUGGUCGUUGGAAGUAGUGCAGGAAAGGUAUGAUGCUACAUUGCUACUUGCUAUCAUAGGUUUGUGACUUGCGUCAUUAUUUUAUAGAUGUUCAAUAUAUUCAUGUUAACCAUGAUGCCUAGACAAAUAAUAGUUGUUGCAAUCCCAUAGUUCAUUGAAAUUUUAGGAAAGCAAUGUAAAGCAACUUGUCCUGAUUAUUUGGCUAAAUUCCAACUACCUAAAUUUGCCAUUACUUAUUUAUUUUCAAUCUCUGCAUCAGUGAAAGUAAGGGAUUUAUGCAGCUUCCUUGGAGAACACCUCGGCUCUAGCCAUACAUUAUGCACAAUUUCUUUGUCUCUCCUUAACGUGGAGAAAAUAUCAAAUAUAUUUAUAUCAUUUUUUAUUGGUGUGUUACAGUAGUGAAGCUUGGCCCAAGUUAGAGUCAUGAGCUACUUGAGUCCACACAAUGAGCUCAAUUGGGUUAAGCCAAGCGUACUCUCAACAUUUAUAGCAAGUUCAGAUUCACAUUGUUUUCAUGUUAAUUGUGGUGGAAAGAAUGUAAAGGUGAUGGAAAAUGAUGAAAAUAUUCACUAUGUAGGAGAUGGAGAUAUGUUAGGUAGUGGUGCUGCUAAAUAUUUCAUUCAUUCAAUUCUACUGGGCUAGCAAGGGGACUACAAGGAUUUCUGCUAGUAGAGUUUAUGGAUUAUAAGAUAUUGGAUUAUAAGAUAACAUCUCGACUGUAGGUCAUUUUACAUAUUUCAGUUCCCCUAAGGGAUAUUUUAGUGUAUGUAAUAUAAAAACAGGCUACUAGGUUAGUUAUGACAUGACAUGUUUCCAUAGUUUUUCUUGUAUAACUCUAUUAGUAUUUGUAAAAAAAAAAAAUCCAGUUUGAAAAUUCUUAGCUCCAGACUAACAAUGAUUAGCAUGGGUUGAAUACUUUGAGUUUGAGCCAAACUUAGAUGUAGAUAGUCCAACCACAACUACUCUUCUAUAUUGUUUUGUGUUCUCAACUUAUCUGGACUAAUUACUUUUUUUAUAUUUGCAUGCUCAAGAGUUCAGUAAAAUAACCCCUUUACCUA
This is a long non-coding RNA of Glycine soja, 2439 nucleotides long. RefSeq lists it as uncharacterized. NCBI's taxonomy places the organism in Eukaryota, Viridiplantae, Streptophyta, Magnoliopsida, Fabales, Fabaceae. The transcript is spliced from 5 exons. The record is from RefSeq and is a predicted model, not a curated record.